Molecule: long non-coding RNA, 252 nt
Organism: Physella acuta
Lineage: Eukaryota; Metazoa; Mollusca; Gastropoda; Physidae
Source: RefSeq, a predicted model, not a curated record
GUUUGUCCGGGCGGCGUUAAACCUGGCGAGUCCUGGUUUGAAGAGGGUUGUGUCAAGUGCGACUGUUACGAAGAUGGGUUUGGAUGCGUCAACUGCCCUACGAUGGCCGUGUUAGGCAACUGUGAGAUCUUCUACGACACAGAGGGAGACUACCCCGCUUGUUGUGCACCACGGGUGGUCUGUGCUGACGAGGAUAAAUAAACAAUGUAAUGUAGACCACGGACUCAUCUGAAAUAAAGAUAUACUGCAAAC